Molecule: long non-coding RNA, 2008 nt
Organism: Amaranthus tricolor (Joseph's coat)
Lineage: Eukaryota; Viridiplantae; Streptophyta; Magnoliopsida; Caryophyllales; Amaranthaceae
Exons: 4
Source: RefSeq, a predicted model, not a curated record
ACCACUUAACUUGAAUAUGUGAGAACUUUUGAGUUGAAUGGUAUUUUCUUAGAGAGGCAAAGAGAGUAUUAAAUAUAAUGGGCUGGGCCUAUGGGAGCCGUCUAUUAAAGAGACUAACUCUCAAGAAACCCGCCGAUAAUAAUAACUGAUGACUAUUAUUCAACCCAUCAUAGAACACAAUCAUAAAAUAAGUAUCUACACAUUUAAGACCCACAAAACAAUUGAUAUAUUAAGCUCAAAUCCUUUAACUUUAAUUAUAGGGCAUAAGAACAACUUUAAUAAAUUACAAUGACACAUAUAUAUUUACAUAUAAGCCCAAUGUUGGACUAUGAUCAAACAUGAUAGACAUAAAAAUAGUAUGGAUCAAGUCUAUAGAAAAUUUGAGGAAAAUAAGGUUAUUUUGGUCAAAAAAAUUGUAAAAUAAGCUUCGAAAAAACUUAUUUCCCUAAUAAACACCUCCUAAUUAAAUGCUAAGGUUUUGUUGUGUUCGUUGUUACUAACAGCAGGUCAUUACUUAAGUCGAGUCGACAAAAGUCAGCCAAAAAAUUGCUCGCUAUUAGUAACAACGGGCCAUAUACAAACAAAAGCUUAGAUUAAGGUUUAUGGGAAAUUAAUCGUUCGUUGUUACGAACAUUGGACCAUUAACAACCCAAGUCAAUGACAGGCAAAAAAGUCAACAAAAGUCAUCCUAAUCGCCCAUAUUAGUAAGAAUGGACGAUCGAUUGGCUGACUUUUUUUUGACUCUGUUUCAGUAGUCGACCGCGGUUAGCAACAACGAACAAACUCCAUACCUUAGGAAUGGGCUGAAGACGCUUAUUUUGGUAAAUAUGUUUUUCCAAGCUUAGUUUGGGAAUAUUUUUAAAAGAAAGGUUUAUUUUGUUUAAAUUUCAAGUCUAUAGAAGACUUUUAUAUUGCAUCGAACUAUUGGUUUGGAUUUCGAUUCGUAACUUUAAUCAUAGUAGACUUGCGGGCUUGCGGCCUUAUGAAUGUAUUCUUGAACUUGUCUAUCAACAAUGGGUUUUCUUUUGGAGCUAAUUAGUAACUUGUUACACUAAAAAAAAAGUGCAUAUACAACACUUAAUUAAGUGUGGUAAGGUAUUUGCAUUUACUCAUGCUUAAUAAGUGUGGAAAUAGUAACCUUACUUAUAAAUGUGGGGAAAAGCAUAUCUAAGACAAAUGGAUGAAAAAUUACCCACACGCUUAUAAGCGUAUUACUCACACUUAUAAGCGUGGGUAUUGUCUAAUUAAAAUAAAAUGUAGAUUAAUAGAACUAUACACACAUUCAUUUGCUUCCCCUGCUCGGCGCUUCACACCAUUGUUUUUGCCCUAAUUUUUGUUGUUUCACGCCCUCACAAUCGGAAUUAUUCAUCAUUUUCACAUACCUUUCCUUAUUUCUCCCAAAAUAUCCAAUUGAGAGAUGCUGUUCUUAAGAAUUCUGAUCAGCAAAUAAAGAACUUAGAUGCAAAGCUUGAUUCUCGGACUUUAAAAUACCAAUGAUGCUUGGGAACUGGAACUGUGGGUUUUUUAAGAAAUGUGGCGCGGGAAGUAUGAAGCUUUGAAAGCUGAAAGAGGCAUCUGCUGCGCUAGAUAUGCAAAAGGAAAUAGAAGAGCUCAAAUUGCAAUGAGGAGCAUGAUUCGUUUCAUGAUCUUGCUGAUAGAAUGCUUGAGGAUAAGGACAAAGAUUUCAAGGCUUUUGUACAUCAACAGUAAACUUCAAGGUGCUUUAGAUUUAGAUCUUAAAAAUUAAAUUAUUACUAAAUGUGUUUAGGUGGUUAUCAAGAAAUAAAUACUUUGGUUUAUGAAGACAAACACAAGUACCAAACAAACACAAGCAUCCAAUAGCAUUUAUGAAGACGUUGUACAUUGGUUUUAGUUUUGUAAUGUAAUAUAAUGACAAUGAUAUUGUUUUUGAAUACUUUUCAUGAAUAACAUUUGUCAUUAAAAACCAAUCGUAAAUAACAUAAUGAGAAUCAUUUAGUGAUAUUGGGAUAAUGAAAUAUCAUUGUGU